RNAcentral lists this small RNA (1906 nucleotides) under Pongo abelii (Sumatran orangutan). RNAcentral describes it as "processed transcript". The record is from RNAcentral. Lineage: Eukaryota; Metazoa; Chordata; Mammalia; Primates; Hominidae.
ACAUGCUUAGAUACCCCCAGCCCUGAAGAUUAUCAUGAGAAACCUGUAGCCGAUUCAUUUCUCUUACUUCAUCUGGGAAGGAAUAGUAUUGUACUUCAUAAAAUAGUGUCAAAAUAGUCACUGUUAUGCUAAACCGGAUUAACAUAAGGUUAUUCACAUCGAACUCCUUUGAUGUGAUCAGUGAUGAUGCUUUUAUUGGUCUUCCACAUCUAGAGUAUUUAUUCAUAGAAAACAACAACAUCAAGUCAAUUUCAAGACAUACUUUCCGGGGACUAAAGUCAUUAAUUCACUUGAGCCUUGCAAACAACAAUCUCCAGACACUCCCAAAAGAUAUUUUCAAAGGCCUGGAUUCUUUAACAAAUGUGGACCUGAGGGGUAAUUCAUUUAAUUGUGACUGUAAACUGAAAUGGCUAGUGGAAUGGCUUGGCCACACCAAUGCAACUGUUGAAGACAUCUACUGCGAAGGCCCCCCAGAAUACAAGAAGCGCAAAAUCAAUAGUCUCUCCUCCAAGGAUUUCGAUUGCAUCAUUACAGAAUUUGCAAAGUCUCAAGACCUGCCUUAUCAAUCAUUGUCCAUAGACACUUUUUCUUAUUUGAAUGAUGAGUAUGUAGUCAUCGCUCAGCCUUUUACUGGAAAAUGCAUUUUCCUUGAAUGGGACCAUGUGGAAAAGACCUUCCGGAAUUAUGACAACAUUACAGGCACAUCCACUGUAGUAUGCAAGCCUAUAGUCAUUGAAACUCAGCUCUAUGUUAUUGUGGCCCAGCUGUUUGGUGGCUCUCACAUCUAUAAACGAGACAGUUUUGCAAAUAAAUUCAUAAAAAUCCAGGAUAUUGAAAUUCUCAAAAUCCGAAAACCCAAUGACAUUGAAACAUUCAAGAUUGAAAACAACUGGUACUUUGUUGUUGCUGACAGUUCAAAAGCUGGUUUUACUACCAUUUACAAAUGGAACGGAAACGGAUUCUACUCCCAUCAAUCCUUACACGCGUGGUACAGGGACACUGAUGUGGAAUAUCUAGAAAUAGUCAGAACACCUCAGACACUCAGAACGCCUCAUUUAAUUUUGUCUAGUAGUUCCCAGCGUCCUGUAAUUUAUCAGUGGAACAAAGCAACACAAUUAUUCACUAACCAAACUGACAUUCCUAACAUGGAGGAUGUGUACGCAGUGAAGCACUUCUCAGUGAAAGGGGACGUGUACAUUUGCUUGACAAGAUUCAUUGGUGAUUCCAAAGUCAUGAAAUGGGGAGGCUCCUCGUUCCAGGAUAUUCAGAGGAUGCCAUCGCGAGGAUCCAUGGUGUUCCAGCCUCUUCAGAUAAAUAAUUACCAAUAUGCAAUUCUUGGAAGUGAUUACUCCUUUACUCAAGUGUAUAACUGGGAUGCAGAGAAAGCCAAAUUUGUGAAAUUUCAGGAAUUAAAUGUUCAGGCACCAAGAUCAUUCACACAUGUGUCCAUUAAUAAGCGUAAUUUUCUUUUUGCUUCCAGUUUUAAGGGAAAUACACAGAUUUACAAACAUGUCAUAGUUGACUUAAGCGCAUGAGACACCAAAUUCUGUGGCUGCCAUCAGAAAUUUUCUACAGUACAUGACCCGGAUGAACUCAAUGCAUGAUGACUCUUCUUAUCACACUUGCAAAUGAAUGCCUUUCAAACAUUGAGACUGCUAGAACCAAGCACUACCAGUAUCUCCAUCCUUAACUGUCCAGUCCAGUGAUGUGGGAAGUUACCUUUUACAAGACAAAAUUUAAUUGUGUAACUGUUCUUUGCAGUGAAGACGUGUAAAUAAGCGUUUAAUGGUAUCUGUUACUCCAAAAAGAAAUAUUAAUAUGUACUUUUCCAUUUAUUUAUUCAUGUGUUCAGAAACAACUGCCAAAUAAAAUGUUUACAUUUUCUUUCAUAUCCCAAAGGUAAUUA